UCCAAUGUGGUGUAGCGGUUUAGCAUAUCUGUCUUUCACACAGAAGAUCGGGGUUCGAUUCCCCGCAUUGGAG
Aspergillus indologenus CBS 114.80 is the source of this 73-nucleotide non-coding RNA. The record is from the annotation of a GenBank genome assembly. NCBI's taxonomy places the organism in Eukaryota, Fungi, Ascomycota, Eurotiomycetes, Eurotiales, Aspergillaceae.